Long non-coding RNA from Amphiprion ocellaris (clown anemonefish), 3891 nucleotides. The record is from Ensembl. Lineage: Eukaryota; Metazoa; Chordata; Actinopteri; Pomacentridae.
CUUCUUUUUUUUUUUUUUUUGGCGUUUACGAUGUCAAAUCCUCACCAAGCUGUUUGGUCUUUGCCAUGGCAAAUCUUGGGUUGACUUGAAAAUCACUGAAACGUCACAAGCAAGUCGACUUUUAUAGUCAGAAGACUGGUUAGAAAACAGAAAACAAAAACUCAGAAAAAUUGAAAACGAUAUUAAACUCUUUAGACCCUUAAAAAGAAUGGUUUGUUUGAACAUCUCCGUCUUGGUAUCAGUGGGGUAUGAAUAAUUUUGGGCUUCAGUAUAUAUAUACAUGUAUGUACCAGUGCAUUGACACGGCAUCCUCCAGUAGCUGAAAGGUCAGUUUGUUGUAUUAUUUUGAGGGUAUAUCAUGAGUGUGAAGCAGUGUUGGUCACAUGGACACACUUUUGCGCUGCUUUUUGAUUUAUUUUUAACCUGCUGUGUUCGAGCAGAGACAUCGUGUAACUGCCAUAUUCGUUUUGUUUUUAUUUUUGCAUGUUUGUACAGCGGUGUGUCACAACAAGCUAAUAGUGCCCUACAAGUGUUCCCACGUUUUUUUUCUUUUUGUUUUGUUUUUGUCCUGUUACUUUCACAUAGUCUGGGACGUCGUAAUUUAAAUCUCAGCGACAUAAUUCCCUAAGAGCAAACCAUUUCAUUCAAUUCAGUUUUACUUAUGUAGCACCAAUUACAAUUCAGAUUGUCUCAAAACGCUUUACAGAACUCACAUGCCUCAAUGGUCUGAAACCUUUUUCUGUUAUUUUUGUCAGUUUCACCCUUUUGUCGGCUGAGUAGAGGGUCCAGGCUUUAAAAUUAUCUCAGUAGAACCUGAAAGUACCCUUUAAGGAUGAUCUAGUUUAGUAUUAUUAGUUUGUCUGUCAGUAAUAACGACACUGACAAAAAGAGUCAGGUAUACCACAAAAAGACACAAAAUCUCCACCAAAAGGGUAAAAAAUUACCACAAACGUGCAAAACUACCACAAACAGAUGUUAAAUCGGCACAAAAAAAUGCAAAAUUACCACAAAAUAACAAAUGUCCAAAAUCACCACAAAAACAGGCCAAAACUACCACAAAAUGACACCAAAUCACCACAAAAAUAAGUGAAUAUACCAAAAAAAGACACAAAAUGAACACCAAAGGGUAAAAAUUACCACGAAGACUCAUCUGGUUCUUCAUCUCCAGUAACUUUAUUAACGAUCAGAGUUCUACUUUCAUACUGUGAAUAUUUCCAGAGUUCCAGGUCCUUGAAGUCCAUAGAGGAGAAUGUCCUCUGUAGAAAGUUCUAGAGUAGACCUACCAACAACCACUGAUUAUUAAUCAGUGGUCCUAACAGUUGUCCUUAGGUAUACUCUUGAACUCUGACAGGGGACGUUCUCCUUUCUUGCUUCCAGUCUUUAAGUUUAGUGUCACUUUGAACAUUCAGACUUCCAGGUCCUUGAAGUCCAUAGAGGUGGAUCCAAAAAGAUAAACCGACUCGUGUCAGCUGAGUAGGCUUUAAAAUUUCUCAAUUAUCUCAAUAGAACCUGAAAGCACCCUUUAAGUAGGAUCUAGUUUAGUAUAAUUAGCUUUUCUAUCGGUAAUAACACUUUCUUGUGUCCCCCCCACCUCUCUACCUCUAUCCCUCCACCUCUAACCCUCUACCUGUAACCCUCUACCUCCACCCCUCUACCUCUAACCCUCUACCUCUAUCCCUCUACCUCCACCUCUAACCCUCUACCUGUAACCCUCUACCUCCACCCCCUCUACCUGUAACCCUCUACCUCUAUCCCUCUAUCUCUACCCUCCUUUCUACCUCUUCUGUCCCUCUCAACCCGCCCGGCCAGCAGACAGAUGGUUCCCCCCACAUUAGAGCCGGGUUCUGCUCGAGGUUUUUUUCCCUGUUAAAAGGGUGUUUUCCUUGCCACUGUCGCCUUUUGGCUUGCUCUGGGGGUCAGGCAUAUGGGUUCUGUAAAGCGUCUCGAGACAAUUUGACUGUAAUUGGCGCUAUAUAAAUAAAAUUGAAUUGAAAAAAUUUAAUUUCUGCUCCAAAUUAGACCCAGAGAGACUUCUGAUCAGCCAUUUUGGAUAAUUUAACUAAUCUAUCAAGAAAACAGCCAAACUUGAUCUCAUUUUACUUCAUCAGAUGUGAUAAUUUGCUGCAUCUCUCAAGUUUUAAGCUGAUAAUCUGACCUGAGGGUUAAUUUGAGGGUCACUUUUGAUGCCUGGAAACUUCAGAUUGACAUUUUAGACUAAAUAUUGUAUUAAUAUUAAUAAAGACGACUUGAGAAGGGAAAUUAAUUUUCUUUCCAUUUCGGCUGAAUGUUCAAAUUAAUUUGAUUCGAUGGGUUUCAUACUGUAUCACUGCAAAAUGGACUGUUUUUGUUGGGGUUUUUUGUGUUUGUUUUUAAAGCCUCAUCGUUACAGAAUUUGUUCACUGCAGCUGAAAACUUUUUGAGAAGAAGGUUCAGUUUAAUGGACAGUUACCACACUUUACGCAGUAGUAAUAGCAACAAAAGUGAAAUAUCAUAACCGUAAAAGUAUUCAUUCAUCUCAGUCUCUACUUGCUUUCUGCUGUUUCAGCUUCUAGUAUCUCUGCAUCGUUUUCUAACCAACUUUGCACACUGUGAUGGAGCGAUAUUUACUCAGUCUUCUUUGCAAAAGUUGCUCAGAGCGAAUGGACAAAAAUAAGGAAAUGUUUUGAAGAACAUCUGUUGUUGUUUUGUUCCCUCCAGCCACUCCUGUUAAGUUAUCGUCUAUGCAUAUUUAUUACGUUUUCUCCAGUCAGAAAAAUGUAGGAUUUAUGAGGGAUUUGUUUUUAUUCUGAGCUCCGUUGUUUAAGAAUCAGUGUCAAAUGUCAAAUAACCCGCGAGGCUGCCAUGUCCACUUCCUUUUCUUGCAGAUGUCAGUAAACGUUCGGCGUUGGUGAACCUUUCAUUCCUUUUUAGCAGAGUUUGAGGUCAUUUCUGCAAGUUGGAAAUCAGAGUUUUUACAUUUAUUUAACGUGAUGCUCGAGGAAAAUGCAAUUUAAUCAAGUUCAACUAUCUUAAAACAACCAAAUGUGAACAAGUCUUGGGGACUGAAUGCUAUUUUUAGGUACUACUGCACUGUUUCAUCGACUGAGCACAUUUUUAUUUUUAUUUAGCCCUGAUUUCAUUUCAAAGGCACAACUGUUUCUUAUGCUGUUUUAUUUAUAUUCAGAGACCUCUAAUAAAAUGUUUAAACCUGCGUAGUUCUCAUAUAUAAGGAGACUCCAAAUGUUUUAUUUGCAAAAAUUGUUAUAAACGCUGAAUAUAUCAGAUUAUUUAUUUGUAUUUUUUUCUUCAUUUGCCCGUACAAGAAUAAAACAUUUAUAGAAAUAAACACAGUUAAUGCACAUUGAUGCCUCUAAUGCCUAUUUAAAAUUGCGACCUUUUGUUUUAAAUUUAAUUUUAUGUUUUAUUUUGUCAUGAAAUUGACUUCAUCGAAGGGAUUCCAAUGUUGUUUUCCCAAGUUUGUAGCGUGAAGAGAAUGUAACUGUAAAAUCCACGAUGUUUUUGUUUGUUUGUUUGAUUUAUUUGGUCACAAUUUGAAGACUACACCUGGGGAUUUAGCAUGUUCCAGUCCAGACUGCCUGUGAGUGUAAAACCUUCCCAGAAAUCAGCUCUUCGUAUGAACCAUUCCCCCCCCACCAUGUGUGUAAAUGGUCAGAUUUGAUGUAAACGAUGGCACUUUUCCCCUCGUCACACAUGCCAGUAAUGGGAUCAAUAAUCUGAAAUGUGUCUGUAUUUAGGUUGUGAAAUUUUUUUUUUUUUUUUUUUUUUUUUAUUUUGCACACCGUUUAGAAGGCUGACACGUUUUUGUUUUUGUUUUUCCUACCCAUAUAUACCUGUGUUUGCAAGGGGGAAUAUACUUUGCUGUAGCAGAUUUUAUGUAACAAAUGAUAUGUC